CUUCGGGGAUGAAUUAGCGGCGAACGGGUGAGGAACACGUGAGAAAUCUGCCUUCAACACUGGGAUAACUCCGGGAAACCGGGGCUAAUACCGGAUAUGAAACUCAGCGGCAUCGCUGGGUUUGGAAAGUUUUUCGGUUGAAGAUGAUCUCGCGGCCUAUCAGCUUGUUGGUGAGGUAAUGGCUCACCAAGGCGACGACGGGUAGCCGGCCUGAGAGGGCGACCGGCCACACUGGGACUGAGACACGGCCCAUACUCCUACGGGAGGCAGCAGUGGGGAAUAUUGGGCAAUGGAGGAAACUCUGACCCAGCGACGCCGCGUGCGGGAUGAAGGCCUUCGGGUUGUAAACCGCUUUCAGCAGGGAAGAAGCGAAAGUGACGGUACCUGCAGAAGAAGCACCGGCUAACUAUGUGCCAGCAGCCGCGGUAAUACAUAGGGUGCAAGCGUUGUCCGGAAUUAUUGGGCGUAAAGAGCUCGUAGGUGGUUCGUCACGUCGGAUGUGAAAAUCUG
This 510-nucleotide ribosomal RNA is filed under the name uncultured Actinomycetes bacterium. RNAcentral's name for it is "bacterial SSU rRNA". It matches the Rfam family "Bacterial small subunit ribosomal RNA", at positions 78 to 604 of the family's 1533-position model. The record is from RNAcentral. Lineage: Bacteria; Bacillati; Actinomycetota; Actinomycetes.